GACGGGCCCGCACAAGCAGCGGAGCGUGUGGUUUAAUUCGAUGCUACACGAAGAACCUUACCAGGGUUUGACAUGCAAGUGGUAGGAAGCCGAAAGGUGACCGACCCUUCGGGGAGCUUGCACAGGUGCUGCAUGGCUGUCGUCAGCUCGUGUCGUGAGAUGUUCGGUUAAGUCCGCUAACGAGCGCAACCCUCGCUGUGUGUUAUAUGUGUCACACGGGACUGCCGGUCUUAAGCCGGAGGAAGGUGGGGAUGAUGUCAAGUCAGCAUGGCCUUUAUAUCCUGGGCUACACACACGCUACAAUGGCCAACACAAUAGGUUGCUAAGCCGCGAGGUGGCGCCAAUCCAUAAAGUUGGUCUCAGUUCAGAUUGUAGGCUGCAACCCGCCUGCAUGAAGAUGGAGUUGCUAGUAACCGCAGGUCAGCUAUACUGCGGUGAAUACGUUCCCGGGGCUU
RNAcentral lists this ribosomal RNA (455 nucleotides) under uncultured Leptolinea sp. RNAcentral describes it as "bacterial SSU rRNA". It matches the Rfam family "Bacterial small subunit ribosomal RNA", at positions 917 to 1381 of the family's 1533-position model. The record is from RNAcentral. Lineage: Bacteria; Bacillati; Chloroflexota; Anaerolineae; Anaerolineales; Anaerolineaceae.